This 315-nucleotide ribosomal RNA is filed under the name uncultured eukaryote. RNAcentral's name for it is "partial 18S ribosomal RNA". It matches the Rfam family "Eukaryotic small subunit ribosomal RNA", at positions 1470 to 1796 of the family's 1831-position model. The record is from RNAcentral.
CCCUUAGAUGUUCUGGGCCGCACGCGCGCUACACUGACCAGUGCAACAAGCAUCCGUCCUUGGCCGACAGGCUCGGGCAAUCUUUGAACGCUGGUCGUGAUGGGGGUAGACUUUUGCAAUUUUUGGUCUUCAACGAGGAAUUCCUAGUAAACGCAAGUCAUCAACUUGCAUUGAUUACGUCCCUGCCCUUUGUACACACCGCCCGUCGCACCUACCGAUUGAAUGGUCCGGUGAAGCCUCCGGAUUGGCGCGCACCUCGGUGCCGCCGAGAAGUUGGCUAAACCUUACCAUUUAGAGGAAGGUGAAGUCGUAACA